This 253-nucleotide ribosomal RNA is filed under the name Anaerostipes hadrus ATCC 29173 = JCM 17467. Its description in RNAcentral is "Anaerostipes hadrus DSM 3319 partial 16S ribosomal RNA". It matches the Rfam family "Bacterial small subunit ribosomal RNA", at positions 524 to 776 of the family's 1533-position model. Lineage: Bacteria; Bacillati; Bacillota; Clostridia; Lachnospirales; Lachnospiraceae. The record is from RNAcentral.
UACGUAGGGGGCAAGCGUUAUCCGGAAUUACUGGGUGUAAAGGGUACGUAGGUGGUAUGGCAAGUCAGAAGUGAAAACCCAGGGCUUAACUCUGGGACUGCUUUUGAAACUGUCAGACUGGAGUGCAGGAGAGGUAAGCGGAAUUCCUAGUGUAGCGGUGAAAUGCGUAGAUAUUAGGAGGAACAUCAGUGGCGAAGGCGGCUUACUGGACUGAAACUGACACUGAGGCACGAAAGCGUGGGGAGCAAACAGG